Molecule: ribosomal RNA, 442 nt
Filed under: uncultured Anaerovorax sp.
Lineage: Bacteria; Bacillati; Bacillota; Clostridia; Peptostreptococcales; Anaerovoracaceae
Description: partial 16S ribosomal RNA
Source: RNAcentral
GACUACCGGGGUAUCUAAGCCUGUUUGCUACCCACGCUUUCGUGCCUCAGUGUCAGUUACAGUCCAGAAAGUCGCCUUCGCCACUGGUGUUCCUCCUAAUAUCUACGCAUUUCACCGCUACACUAGGAAUUCCACUUUCCUCUCCUGCACUCAAGUCUCACAGUUCGCAGGGCUAACAGUAGUUGAGCUACUGCCUUUCACCCUACGCUUACAAAACCACCUACGCACUCUUUACGCCCAAUAAUUCCGGAUAACGCUCGCCCCCUACGUAUUACCGCGGCUGCUGGCACGUAGUUAGCCGGGGCUUCCUCCAAGGGUACCGUCAUUUUUUUCUUCCCCAAGGACAGAGUUUUACGACCCAAAGGCCUUCAUCACUCACGCGGCGUUGCUGCAUCAGGCUUUCGCCCAUUGUGCAAUAUUCCUCACUGCUGCCCCCCGUAGG